This 72-nucleotide non-coding RNA is filed under the name marine sediment metagenome. RNAcentral describes it as "c-di-GMP-I riboswitch aptamer". It matches the Rfam family "c-di-GMP-I-GGC riboswitch aptamer". RNAcentral also lists the same sequence under 1 other name. The record is from RNAcentral.
ACGAUAAAGGCAAACCCUCUGCGAGGAGGGGACGCAAAGCCACGGGUCUUUCUGAGAUAGCCGGGCUACCGA